CAGUCGCCGCGGUAAAACGAAGGGUGCAAGCGUUAAUCGGAAUUACUGGGCGUAAAGCGCACGUAGGCGGCUUUGUAAGUUAGAGGUGAAAGCCUGGAGCUCAACUCCAGAAUUGCCUUUAAGACUGCAUCGCUUGAAUCCAGGAGAGGUGAGUGGAAUUCCGAGUGUAGAGGUGAAAUUCGUAGAUAUUCGGAAGAACACCAGUGGCGAAGGCGGCUCACUGGACUGGUAUUGACGCUGAGGUGCGAAAGCGUGGGGAGCAAACAGGAUUAGAUACCCCCGUAGUCCCUGUCUCUUAUAC
This 301-nucleotide ribosomal RNA is filed under the name uncultured bacterium. RNAcentral describes it as "partial 16S ribosomal RNA". It matches the Rfam family "Bacterial small subunit ribosomal RNA", at positions 509 to 807 of the family's 1533-position model. The record is from RNAcentral.